This 253-nucleotide ribosomal RNA is filed under the name uncultured prokaryote. RNAcentral's name for it is "partial 16S ribosomal RNA". It matches the Rfam family "Bacterial small subunit ribosomal RNA", at positions 525 to 777 of the family's 1533-position model. The record is from RNAcentral.
ACAGAGGUCCCGAGCGUUGUUCGGAUUCACUGGGCGUAAAGGGUGCGUAGGUGGCAUGAUAAGUUUGAUGUGAAAUCUCCGGGCUCAACCCGGAAAAUGCAUUGAAUACUAUCAGGCUGGAGGUUUGGAGGGGGGACUGGAAUUCUCGGUGUAGCAGUGAAAUGCGUAGAUAUCGAGAGGAACACCAGUGGCGAAGGCGAGUCCCUGGACAACACCUGACACUGAGGCACGAAAGCUAGGGGAGCAAACAGGA